Molecule: non-coding RNA, 30 nt
Filed under: Homo sapiens (human)
Lineage: Eukaryota; Metazoa; Chordata; Mammalia; Primates; Hominidae
Source: RNAcentral
UGAUAGAUUCCUGUCGUGCUUGCUGUCCUC